UACGGAGGGAGCUAGCGUUGUUCGGAAUUACUGGGCGUAAAGCGCACGUAGGCGGCUUUUUAAGUCAGGGGUGAAAUCCCGGGGCUCAACCCCGGAACUGCCCUUGAAACUGGAGAGCUAGAAUCUUGGAGAGGCGAGUGGAAUUCCGAGUGUAGAGGUGAAAUUCGUAGAUAUUCGGAAGAACACCAGUGGCGAAGGCGACUCGCUGGACAAGUAUUGACGCUGAGGUGACGAAAGCGUGGGGAGCAAACAGG
Molecule: ribosomal RNA, 254 nt
Filed under: uncultured bacterium
Lineage: Bacteria
Description: partial 16S ribosomal RNA
Rfam family: Bacterial small subunit ribosomal RNA
Source: RNAcentral